UGAAUUGUACAUUGCGUUUUGGAUCAUGGGUAUGGAAGAAACAUCUUAGACUGCUUCUCUAUCUUGAAAAGAAAGUUAUAAAGAUUUGACUAUCUCCAUGGUGUUCCAGAGACGGAGUAGACUCAUGCAGGAUUGUGUCCCUACUAAACUGAUCCCUAUCUCUUUCACAACCACCCAGCACCAAACCAGCUGUCAGUUUACCAGGAUUGUUGUGUGCAAAGGCUAGAUGUACAACAAUGUGAAUAUGGUCGCUUUCAGCUCUGCCUCCCACGACAUGGACGAUGGUCCACCACCAUUUCUGAAGCUGGGAGAGACGCUCUGAAGCAGUGUAUGAAGCCGGGUUUGCUCUGACAGAUGUUGGCUCUCCCACCAAGCGUGGGCCAUAGCCAUUAAAAGAUUCCACAACUUCCA
This is a non-coding RNA of Oryctolagus cuniculus (rabbit), 411 nucleotides long. NCBI's taxonomy places the organism in Eukaryota, Metazoa, Chordata, Mammalia, Lagomorpha, Leporidae. The record is from RefSeq and is a predicted model, not a curated record.